Molecule: ribosomal RNA, 402 nt
Filed under: uncultured bacterium
Lineage: Bacteria
Description: bacterial SSU rRNA
Rfam family: Bacterial small subunit ribosomal RNA
Source: RNAcentral
UGGGGAAUUUUGGACAAUGGGCGAAAGCCUGAUCCAGCCAUGCCGCGUGAGUGAAGAAGGCCUUCGGGUUGUAAAGCUCUUUUAGUCGGAAAGAAAGAGUUGCAAUGAAUAAUUGUGAUUUACGACAGUACCGACAGAAAAAGCACCGGCUAACUACGUGCCAACAGCCGCGGUAAUACGUAGGGUGCGAGCGUUAAUCGGAAUUACUGGGCGUAAAGGGUGCGCAGGCGAUCUUGCAAGUCAGAUAUGAAAGCCCCAGGCUUAACCUGGGAAUUGCGUUUGAAACUACAAGGCUAGAGUGCAGCAAAGAGGAGUGGAAUUCCAUGUGUAGCAGUGAAAUGCGUAGAGAUGUGGAAGAACACCGAUGGCGAAGGCAGCUCCCUGGGUUGACACUAACGCUCA